AUGCCUUUCCCCAAGCCGUGGACUGAUCCAGCGCAUGUGGGCGAUUUCUUUAACUUUCUCCCCUUCGGUCUUUCAUCUUUGGGUUGCACAAUGGAAGGGAGAGAGCGGGGCGAAAUAUCUCGCACCCAGGUCGGGCGAGCAGCGGACUGUAAUUCUCUUGCAUGCAACAAGACCGAGGAAAAGAAAGAGAGGGGGGGUGGGGGGGGAAAGCUCCCAAUGCCCAAUCAAUGGCAAGACGAAGUGAUUUCCUUGCCUCUCGGAUUCCUCUCGGCAGCGUGGAAAACGAGCCCCUGGAAAGCAACUUCAACUCAUCCAGGCUCCCGUGCAGAACACUCCGGUUCCAACAAGUCAGCCGAUCCCCGGGUUCAGCCGGCUAGUGCAUCUUGCAGCUGGGGCGCCGUAACCUCACAAAUCCCUGCAUCUCUCUUUAUUCCCUUCUGCAGCAGCUCCAAGACUCCGGCGGUGUUUACUCCUGCGCUCGCGGCGCUUCCCAGGCCCCCGCGCGAUCGCUGCCGACCGCCGCGUUCGGUCGCCGAAUGUUACCCGGUUCUGAAUGUUACACUUACACAUUCCAUUCCCGACACUACAGCGCUGACCUCAUCCAUCCACGCAGCCCGCGCUGCCAUUGGCCGAGCGUCACGUCCGGGGUGGGCGGUGCUUCCGCUGCGCCCAUUCAUAACCCCCGGCCACCGGCAGAGGCGCCGGCGCGGCGCUGGGGGUGCGGGCGGCGAAGGGACCCCGGGGCGCCUCGGCCGGGCCCCAGCGGGCGGAGCGCGGGGCUGCCCCGAGAGAGUCCGCGGCCCUUCGGUGCCCCGGGAUCCAGACCCCGGCCUGGGCCGCACCACCUGCAGCCGCCGCGCCGGGAAACCAGCGCCUCCCAGAGGCGCCUGCGGGCGCGCGGAGGCUGGAGAACCGGGGACUGGCGGGCGCUUCCCCGGCCCGCUGCUCCGGCUGCCCCGGUCGUCCUCGAGAAUUCCUACUCCUCCGCUGCCUGCCGGGAGCGCCUCCCCGAGCGGGCGGCGGCGUGUGUUCGGGUUCCUGGAGAAGGAUGCUCGAAAAGUGGAGCAGUGGGGCGAGCCCUUGGGCUGCAGGAGGAAAAAAAAAAAAAAAGGACUUCAUAGAAAGCGACCGCUGACCAGAAGGAUGUCUCUCUCUGCCCACCUUCCACCCUCUGAGGGCCCCAAAUUUUCCUUCCUACAAAGCAUUUAAACAGGUCCCUUAUCCCCUAAAUGUGUGCAGUGUCGCUUCAAUCGUGUCCGACUCUUUGCCACCCCCAUGGACUGUAACCUGCCAGGCUACUCUGUCCAUGGGAUUCUCCAGGCAAGAAUACUGGAGCAGGUUGCCAUGCCUUCCUCCAGGAGAUCUUCGCAACCCAGGAAUCGAACCCAUUAUCUCCAGCGUCUCCUGCAUUGCCCACCUCUUUUUCCUUACCCCCAAGGAACCACCCCAAUCCCCAAUAAUAAAAAGGAAAUACAACCGAAAGGAAUCGUUUUA
RNAcentral lists this long non-coding RNA (1494 nucleotides) under Bos indicus x Bos taurus (hybrid cattle). Its description in RNAcentral is "lncRNA (ENSBIXG00005016584.1)". Lineage: Eukaryota; Metazoa; Chordata; Mammalia; Artiodactyla; Bovidae. The record is from RNAcentral.